This 415-nucleotide ribosomal RNA is filed under the name uncultured crenarchaeote. Its description in RNAcentral is "partial 16S ribosomal RNA". It matches the Rfam family "Archaeal small subunit ribosomal RNA", at positions 330 to 747 of the family's 1478-position model. Lineage: Archaea; Thermoproteati; Thermoproteota. The record is from RNAcentral.
GCGCAGCAGUCGCGAAAACUCCGCAAUGCGCGAAAGCGUGACGGGGUCACCCCGAGUGCCGUCCGCUGAGGAUGGCUUUUGCCUGGUCUAACCAGCCGGGUGAAUAAGGAGAGGGCAAGUCUGGUGUCAGCCGCCGCGGUAAUACCAGCUCUCCGAGUGGUGGGGAUGUUUAUUGGGCCUGAAGCAUCCGUAGCUGGCUGAGCAAGUUCUCCGUUAAAUCCAGCGAUUUAAUCGUUGGACUGCGGGGGAUACUGUUCGGCUAGGGGGCGGGAGAGGCCGACGGUAUUCUCGGGGUAGGGGUGAAAUCCUAUAAUCCCGGGAAGACCACCAGUGGCGAAGGCUGUCGGCUAGAACGCGCCCGACGGUGAGGGAUGAAAGCUGGGGGAGCGAACCGGAUUAGAUACCCGGGUAGUCC